GCACCUGGCCCAUGGCUUGGGUUCCUGUGCAACCCUGGGUCGAGUUGGACUCUCCUCUUGGGGCUGGGACCAACAUGGACCGGUGUACUGCAUGUGGAUACCCCAGGUCUGAUACCACCUGGUGACCUCCUGUGGAGCACCUAGGUACUCCCUUUUGUCCUGCUUGGUUGUUCCUCGGUAGGCACCCCUACCCCCCACCCCUGGCCCCCUCAUAAUGCACAUCAGGCUUGUGUCCCUUCACAUUGGGGGCCAGCCUCGCUCUCCACAGGAGCCACCCUGGAGGAGGCCUAUUAGUAGGAGUUCCUAGGCAAGGAUCUAGUGACCACUAGAGACUUUGUGGAUGCCAGUGUCUGCUUAUGUCAAUGUUGGAGUCCUGCCCUGAGUGCCCCUGGCCAGACAUUCUGGGACCUGGGUGGCCCCUAUGGGGUGGGCUUUGGGAAUGUAGGGACAGCUGUGGGUGUGGCAGAGCCCCAGGCUAACCCUGCCCAUCCUCCUCCCUCCUCCCAGCUGAGGAAGGGUGGGGCCUGCAACUGAGCUUCUGGACACCUCAAGGUCCCUCCUGACCCUGACCCCAUGGCAUCAAGCACCAUGGCCAGGGAAACUUCCAGAUAUUUGAGCAGCUUUCUCUGGUCUCAGCUGUUGGGCUCAUGGGGUGCAUUCUCUUUGCAGAUGCUCAGAGGUGGAAACAGAUCCGGAAGGCCAGGAGCCCCAUGGGGCACUGGCUUCCCAGGAUGCACCCACCCCAGGGUAUGGUUGUUGGGGUGGAUACCUGUAUUAGCUCCUGGCCCUGAAUGGGCAACACUGAGUGGGAAUGAGCAUCUGUUCUCUCUCUCAUACUGAGGAACCAGGUGUGGGGCUCAGAAGUUGUGGCUGGGGGUGGUCCCCUGCCUGGCGUCCCCCUCAGGCAUUUUCUUGCACCAUAAACACUGACCCCAGUGAUGUUCCUGGCUCAUGUCAUAUCCACCCCUGCCUGGCUGUGGGGCUGGGCUCCUCCCAGCUGGCCUUCAGCUCAGCAGGAAAAGCCAAUGGUGGGUUUUGCAUCAAUCCAAGGAGCUGAUUUCUGGCCUCUAAGUGGAUGGUUUCAUGAAUCAAUAAUGUUCAUAAAAAGUCCAUACUUCAAUAUUUUAGUUUCUAACCCACUGAGGGUAUUGAGCAACUGGUGAGAAUGCAUCUCAGUGAGUGGAUGCCAGCAUCUGCAUCUGUGCACUGUGUCCUGCAGCUGUGGUGACUGGCUUGGGGGCUGCGCCCAGAGACCAGCUGCUGUACCCAUCUUCCUGCACUGCUCUGGAAUAGUGACCUUCUCCAUGUGGUCUUUCUCCAAGGUUCCUGUAGGCAGGAGUGUCCUCGGCAGUGUUAGGAGUUCUCCUGGGCUCAGGAUGAACACUGUUUUGCACAUGAAUUGGUGUGGGAUCUGCUGGUUGCAGCCUGUUACCAUCCAGCAUCUUUGGAGAUACGGCAGAUUUGCUGCAGUUUACACAUGGCAGGUGCUUCAGCCUUCUCCCUGACCCGUACUUGGGCAGUUUGGGGGCUUUGCUGCCUUUGUGAGGAUGGUUUAGAACUCGAUGGGGCUGUUAGAGCUGAGGUUCCUUGGGUGGAGUGCCCCGUGUGUGGGGGGGGCAGGUGGGGACACUGGCAGAUCUGUGGGGCUAUGGAUUGUGGCUGACACCCCCACCCUACUUACAGCCCACUGUGCCACACAGUAGGCACCUGGCUCCCGGCCCAGGUAUGCCCACCUGCACUGUGCACAGGUAGACAGGUCCUGGGAGGGGACUGCAUAGCCCCUGGAGGUGGGCUUUAACCAUUUGAGCAGGAGCUCUGAAGUGCAGGGUGCUGGGGGCACUGCAAAAGGGGAGGCAGAGAUGGCUAGGACAAGGCCAUCUACAGCUCUGGCCUGGUUUGGGUUUCCUUUCCUGGGUUUAAGGGUGUCCUUCCUGGGGUGCAGGCAUGGUCCCUCGUUGGGGGAGUUAACAGGGGUGCCGCAUGGGGAAGACAUGGGCAGGUGUAGCCUGAGGAAUGGUGAUGGUCCGGGGAGUGUCCUCUGGGUGAGGGUAUGGAGGAAUCCUGGGGGCCUGGGGGAGUGUGGUGAAAUGGCCAGAGUGGACAGGUUGGGCAUUAGCACAAUGUUUGGGGAUGUGGAAUGAAGACGGGCAGAGGGCAGGUGACAGAUGUUGCUGGGGGAACAGAAGAGGCAGGAAAUGAGAGUGGCUGGUGACCUUGGCCAGGGGCUCCCUGGAGUGGUAAGGGUGUCGAGGAUUGCCCUUCAGUGGGUAUUGGUCCCUGGGGGAGCAGACUUCUCCUUCACAGGAGGCUUGCCUAUGGGGUCCAACACUGCAGGGGGCAGUAUUGGAGACGGGGCCUACACCUGCUCAGGCCACUCUGUCUGGUUCCCUGUCCCCACCUUUAUCUGGGUGUUGUCAGGUGUUUUCAUGUGUGACUUCACAUGUGACUCGAGUGGCCGGGUUCGUGUUCCUCCACUCCAGACCUGGUUCCAUCAUGUGGUAACUGUCUUUCAUGUUGCGAGGAUUCCCAGGUGAGUUCCAGAGUAGGCUGAUUUUCCGUCACCUGAAACUUACAUGAGAUUUCAAUUUCUUUACGUUUUCCUUUUUUCUGUAUUUAUUGAGGCAGUCAUGUGGUUUUGUCCUUUAUUAUGGUGGUGUGUUACAUCAAUUCAAUUUUGGAGCUAAAGCAACCUUGCAUUCCUGGGAUAAAUGUUUUUUGGUCAUGGGCACAACUCCUUCUUGUAGACUGCUGAAUUCUGUGUGCUGGUGUCUUGUUGGGGGUACUUGGGUCUGUCCUUGAGGGUCUGUGGCAUGCGUGUUCCUUGUGAUGUCUUUAUCUGGCUUUGGUGUCAGGCUAAUACUGAACUCAUAAGAUGGAUUGGGAAGUGUAUUAUUUUCUUUUAUUUUGGGAAGUUUUGAAGGGUCACUGUCAUUCUCAUUCAAGUGUUUGAUUGUGCAGCUGGAUCUUUUCUGCCUGGGGAUUUUUUAAAAUUACUGUCAGUCUCUUUACUUGCUGUAGGUCUAUGCGUCCUUUCCACUUCUUGAGUCAGUUUUGUUAGUGAUAGUUUGUCCUUUUCAUCUAGACGGUCUCAUUCAUUGGUAUACAGUUGUUCCUAGUAUUCUCUCUCUCUCUCUCUCUGGAUGCUGGGGAUUGAAC
Molecule: long non-coding RNA, 3156 nt
Filed under: Marmota monax (woodchuck)
Lineage: Eukaryota; Metazoa; Chordata; Mammalia; Rodentia; Sciuridae
Source: RNAcentral